Molecule: ribosomal RNA, 256 nt
Filed under: uncultured bacterium
Lineage: Bacteria
Description: partial 16S ribosomal RNA
Rfam family: Bacterial small subunit ribosomal RNA
Source: RNAcentral
UAAUACGAAGGGGGCUAGCGUUGUUCGGAUUUACUGGGCGUAAAGGGCGCGUAGGCGGCCCGUUUAGUCAGGUGUGAAAGCCCUGGGCUCAACCCGGGAAAUGCACUUGAUACUGGCGGGCUUGAGGAUGGGAGAGGAUGGUGGAAUUCCCAGUGUAGAGGUGAAAUUCGUAGAUAUUGGGAAGAACACCGGUGGCGAAGGCGGCCAUCUGGACCAUUUCUGACGCUGAGGCGCGAAAGCGUGGGGAGCAAACAGG